RNAcentral lists this long non-coding RNA (242 nucleotides) under Parus major (Great Tit). RNAcentral describes it as "lncRNA (ENSPMJG00000011649.1)". Lineage: Eukaryota; Metazoa; Chordata; Aves; Passeriformes; Paridae. The record is from RNAcentral.
ACUAGAGGGGAGGAGACUGCCGGCUUUACUGAGCGCUCCAGCUACAGCUUGAAGGUGCAGAGGCUGUCACCAGACUGGUUGCCCAACGAAAUGGUUUAAAAUAUGUUAUGAAGGUGGCAUGCUGUGGUCUGUGGUGGGGUAUGAAUUCUGCUGAAGUCCAUGCACUUUGCAGCAGCGCUGCUUCUUCUCACACCAGGAAAAGAGGCCAUUUUGAUGACCAAUUUCUUUCUACAACUGCUGGA